Molecule: long non-coding RNA, 1962 nt
Filed under: Homo sapiens (human)
Lineage: Eukaryota; Metazoa; Chordata; Mammalia; Primates; Hominidae
Description: HSALNT0339869
Source: RNAcentral
GCAUGGCUUUGUUUUCGAGUUAUUUAUGUAUGCAGAUUUCAGCCUUCUGGGUGAGCUUUCCUGCCGCUGAGUAUCACAGAUUGUUCCAACACUCACUUUCAUCAUUUCCUUCACGAGGAAAGAGGCCCACGAAGGUUAAAUGACUUAUAUGAGGUCACAAAGUCACUUGGAGACAAAAUCAGCAGUAGGAUCUCGGUUUCCAGCCCAGUGCAAUUUCUGCUCUAUCCCGCUGACCUCAUUGUUGAGGUAUGUCCUUAUAGCAGUGUGAGAACCGACUAAUACAGUUCCUUAGGAAGCCCCUGCUGGGUAUGGAUGGGGAGUGAAGCAAGGUGGGCCCAGAAGCUGCCGCUGGCUGAGAGACCAUGAAGAAAGUGUAUAGAAUCUCCACCAUCACCAGAGGAAGAGAGCUUGGCAGGAAAGUUACUUCCAUGAAUGGAUGAGUUGAAGUGAACAGCGUCUUGGGCAAAACUGAAGGGUAGUUAGUCGGGUUUGUCUCUGGUGGGCUUUCAGCUCCACUCCCUGCAUCCCAUUCCCACAUCGUGAUGGUCCCCUCAUAGGCCCAGGGCUACCACCUUGGAGCAUAGGUGGGGAUCCUCCAGCCAGGGUCCUUCCUUCACAGGGAGUCAGAGCCCUCUGCUCCGGAAUUGCCCUGCCCCAGGUCGGCCAUCUAUCAAAAGCCCCACUAUCCCCUAAAGACCCACCCUCAAGCAGCAGAUGUGCAGCAAGGGAGCCGCAAAUGUCAUUCCUGUGACCCCGAAGCAGUCUAGUGUGUUACCUCUCUCAGGGCUGCUAUGGGCUGAAUUGCUUUUCCCCAAAAUUUCUAUGCUGCUUCCCUAACCCCCAGCGCCUCAGAAUCUAACUCUGGAUAGGACCUGUGAAUAAGUGAUUAAGUUAAAAUGGGGUCCUGUGGAUGGGCCCUAACCCAAUCUGACUGGUGUCCUUUUAAGAAGAGGAAGAGACACCAGAGAUGUGCACACUCAGAGACAAGACACAUGAGGACACAGAGACAAGGCGGCUACCUGCAAGCCAGGGAGAGGGGCCUCGGGGAAGCCAACCCUGCCUACGCCUUGAUCUUGGACUUCCAGCCUCCAGAACUCCAGAAUCUGAGUGAAAUGGGUAUAAAUCAUGAGCUAGGAUACAGUUCAAUUAUUCCUAUGAUGAAAAGAUUUUGGUGUUUGUGGGAAUUCUUGGAACCAAUUCCCUGUGGGUACCGAGGAGCACCUGUACAUGUCACAUGUUGCGUAUUCAUUCAUCGGUGGGUGGACACUGCAGCAGUCUCCAUCCCUUGCCUACUGUGAAUAACGCUGGUAUGGACAUGUGCUAUCCUGCUUUUAUAUUUACAAACUCUUCACUAAAUUAUCAGAUUCUCACAAUGACUUUGUGAAGUACGUAUCAUGAUUACUUUCUCAUUUUUCAGAUGAGGACACUGUGACUUUAUAUGGCCAUGUUUCCAUUGUUAAUAUUGCAAUUUGGGGAAUUAAUGAAGGGUUUGGGGAGCAUGCCUCACAAUGCCAGGGAUUCACUCCAAGUGUGGGCACACAUAUGUGUGUAUACGUAUGUGUAUGUGUGUGUGCGGUAUAUGUGUGUAUGUGAGUGCAAUGUGUGAUGCGUAUGUGAGUGUAUGUCUGUGUGUGUGUGUGUGUGUGUGUGUUGUGUGUGUGGUGGAUGUGUGCGGUGGAUGAUGAGUGUGUGGUGUGUGUGAUGCAUAUGUGUGUGUGGUGUGAGUGUAUGUGUGUGGUGUGUGUGUGGUGUGUGAGUGUAUGUGUGUGGUGUGUGUGUGGUGUAUAUGAAUGUGCAUGAUGUGUAUGUGUGUGUGCAUGUGAUGUGUGAGUAUGUGUUUUGUGUGUGGUGUGUGCAGUGUGUGUGUGAUGUGUGAGUGUAUGUGUGUGCUGUGUGUGUGUGUGGUGUGUGUGUGAUGUGUAUGUGAGUGUGUGAUGUGUGUGAAUGUGGGUUGUAUGCAUG